AGUACUUCUCUCAACGGUGAU
RNAcentral lists this non-coding RNA (21 nucleotides) under Arabidopsis thaliana (thale cress). Lineage: Eukaryota; Viridiplantae; Streptophyta; Magnoliopsida; Brassicales; Brassicaceae. The record is from RNAcentral.